GGCCACCUUCGGGGGGCUUAUCACAUAGGUCUUCGCGCCCGGAGGGGCAGGGGAUCGCUAGCUAAACGGAAGACAGAAA
This 79-nucleotide non-coding RNA is filed under the name Pseudooceanicola batsensis HTCC2597. RNAcentral's name for it is "L2-Alphaproteobacteria ribosomal protein leader". It matches the Rfam family "L2-Alphaproteobacteria ribosomal protein leader". Lineage: Bacteria; Pseudomonadati; Pseudomonadota; Alphaproteobacteria; Rhodobacterales; Paracoccaceae. The record is from RNAcentral.